GCUUGUGGUUACGAAAUAUCGGAAAAGGGUCAAUGAUACUUACAAGACAAAAGGGCCUGUUUAUGAAAACUCUGGCAUCGAACUAGAAUGUGGAAAUUCAGCAAAUGCUGGCAGUGUCAGCAAGCAUGGAAUUGUACAAGCAUCAAACAGCGACACUGUGUUAAAGUCACUUGACUAUGAGGAUCUUGGAAGAGUUCAAGAAUCCGAGCAUGAAUAUGGACAGAUUCUUGCAGACACUGGAUUUCUUGAAUGACUUAUUACAGUUAGCAUACACGAAGAUAAAUGGUCAUCAACAAUCGUUUUAACUUGCAUUAAAAGUAUCACGUCAAUAGAGUAACAAUUUGAAUUAUAAACAAUGGACUGCAGUAUCAAACACAAACUCAUUCUUUAUUGUAUAGUGAUGAAUAUUUGUCUGAUAUUUUCAUGUGUCUAUUGUGAUUCUAAAUAUCGCACUAUUGAAGGUACGAACAGUUAUAACGGAUGUGCAUAAUAAAUAAAAUUAACCAUACUAGACUAUUUGUUUCUUUAGAGAAGAAGGGAAUCUACGAUCAAUUUAUGAAUACUCUCAAGUCUCUUUAUACGGAUUUAAAAGCAUGUGUCAAACUCAAUAACAAUGUCACUGAUUUCUUCUCAUGCAAUAUCGGCACCCGCCAAGGGGACAAAACAAGUUCGACAAUUUUGAUCUCAUUGUAGAUGAGAUGUCUGUCCUUUUACGUGAAAAUUGUGAAAGUGGUAUUUUUAUCACAAAUGAUAUUCCAGAUAUUUUUUGUUUGAUGUUUGCAGAUGAUGUAGCAGGGUGUGCCGAAACUGCAUUUAAGCUUCAACAGCAAAUAAAUAUUAUUGACAGCUUUUGUUGUGAUACUGGGAUGGAUAUAAAUAUGGAUAAGACUGAAAUUACGGUUUUUUCGAAAUGGAUGUCCUCUUUCGUCGAUAUGAGCACUGGUCGUAACGUGGGACACAAUCAAUAUUACCUCUCAGUAUAUAUCUCAGUACAUGGGUAUCUUACUUACAUCAAGGUUGUCAUGGUCAUCCCGCUCAUUCUAAGUUAGUAUCUCAGGCGCAAAGAGCUCUCUUUGCCAUAAAGGCUUAUCAAAGACCUUUUGGUUAGUUUUUCUGUUGUUGAUUCAUUUAAGAUUUUUGAUUCCAUGUUCAAACCCGAUACUUUGUUAUGCAUAUCAAAUUUGGGGCUAUGAAUAUGUAGAGACAAUAGAAUCUAUUCAUAAUAAAUUUUGUAAAAGUAUUUUAUAUGUACGUAGAACUACUUAUACAUGUAUGGUUCUUGGUGAAUGUUGUAGAUUGCCAUUGUGUACUACAUAUUAUAUAAAUUGUAUUCGAUAUUUGUGUAAUUGCCAUCCCAUAGACAUACAAAGCAAUUAUAUAACAUGUUACAAUCCCUAGAUGAUGCCGGUAGAAACUGCUGGGCAACCAAGAUUGGAACGCUUUUGUACAAAUAUGGAUUCAGUACGAUGUCAAUGCUUUUAUUAGAAUGUUUUGACAUAGAGUUGUUAAUCAUUGUACACUAGACUGGCAAACAGUUCUUGAAACCUCUAGUAGAUGUGAUAAUUAAAAUAACUUUAAAAGCCUACUUACUGUUGAAACAUAGUAGUAUUUGACCAUGGAUAUUCAGUUCAAGUAUAGAAUUGAUAGGUCAAUGUUUCGCCUUUCAAAUCAGGCUGAAUAUUAAAUUAGGUAGAAAUAAUAAUGUUCUAAAAGAAAAUCGUAUAUGUAACGUUUUGCCAACAGUCAAAUAAUGAUAAUACAAUUGAUUGUGAAUACCAUGCCAUUUUAAAUGUG
This is a long non-coding RNA of Ruditapes philippinarum (Manila clam), 1794 nucleotides long. RefSeq lists it as uncharacterized. NCBI's taxonomy places the organism in Eukaryota, Metazoa, Mollusca, Bivalvia, Venerida, Veneridae. The record is from RefSeq and is a predicted model, not a curated record. The transcript has 5 exons.